UAGAAAAUCUGAUUACGAACGCGGAAUAUUCUUUGGAAUCGGUUUUUGAUAGCGCACAGUUACUGCCCUUUAAUCAAAUGCGCCAUUUGCACCGGAGGGUGUGUAUGGAAAAGAGUGUUCACAUGUGGUAACCAGUAAACAAGCAAGUCAGAAGAAUGACGUCUAAGACAUUGUGUGCUAUUUUAGUGUCAGAAUAUACAGAUGUUUUGUACCAUGCAGUGUGUGAAGUAACAGUAAAACAGAAUAGCUACAGACUAUGAAGUUGAGAAAUGCAGAUACAGCUCUAAAUUGUUCAACAUGGUGUAUGUGGGAAACAUAGUAGACAGGAACCAUAGAAAUCAUAUGACAAGAGAUAUCCAUACAUUUGCUUCAAGGAAAUGAAAAGAAAAAUGGGUACUGAAUAGUAUGCAGUGAAAUGCAAGUCAGCUGAAGUCAGUGUGAAGUAACAGUAAAGCAGAGUGGCUAGAAACCAUUAACUUCAGAACUGAAGAGUGCAAUGUGUGAAGUAACAGUAAAACAGAAUAGCUACAAAUGCAGAUACAGCUCUAAAUUGUUCAACAUGGUGGGAAACAAGUAGACAGGAACCAUAGAAAUCAUAUGACAAGAGAUAUCCAUACAUUUGCUUCAAGGAAAUGAAAAGAAAAAUGGGUGCUGAAUAGUAUGCAGUGAAAUGCAAGUCAGCUGAAGUCAGUGUGAAGUAACAGUAAAGCAGAGUGGCUAGAAACCAUUAACUUCAGAACUGAAGAGUGCAAUGUGUGAAGUAACAGUAAAACAGAAUAGCUACAAAUGCAGAUACAGCUCUAAAUUGUUCAACAUGGUGGGAAACAAGUAGACAGGAACCAUAGAAAUCAUAUGACAAUGUGAAGUAACAGUAAAGCAGAGUGGCUAGAAACCAUUAACUUCAGAACUGAAGAGGUACAGGUCUUUCUUCUAUAUGGUAAAUGAUUGAACCAUGGUGGAAUUUUGGAUAUAUAAGUGCAAUGUGUGAAGUAACAGUAAAACAGAAUAGCUACAAAUGCAGAUACAGCUCUAAAUUGUUCAACAUGGUGGGAAACAAGUAGACAGGAACCAUAGAAAUCAUAUGACAAAUAAGAAGCUCAUUUACAUUUAGAUCCAUUUUCCUCUAAUCUAGCUGCACUCUAGAGUUAUAGAAAAGCUUAAUACAGUUCUUCUAAAAAUAAAACAAAUUUUACAAUGGAAGGGAGGUAACUCAAUUAAGAAAAAAGAACACUAAAAGGCUAUAUACUAAUAAAAGAAAUUGUUCUUUGUUUCAAAUAAAAUUCAGCUACUUUAGGUCAAUUUUGAUAUAGUUUUUAGAUAUUCACUGUCUUAGACCUGUUUUCCACGAGAUAUCCAUACAUUUGCUUCAAGGAAAUGAAAAGAAAAAUGGGUGUUGAAUAGCAUGCAGUUAAAUACAAGUCAGCUGAAGUCAGUGUGAAGUAACAGUAAGGCAGAAUUCUAGAGACCAUUAACUUCAGAACUGAAGCGAUACAGGUCUUUCUUCUAUAUGGUAAAUGAUGUAACUAGGUAGAAUUUUGGAUAUAUAAGGUGUCAAGUUACAGAAAAGCAGGAUAGCUGCGAACCAUGAACUUCAGAAAUGAAGAGAUGCAUGUCAUUAUUCAGCAUGGUGUAUAUGGAAACAUUGUGGAUGGCAGAAAUGAAAUGAUUUAGUUAGUAAACACACCAUAAAUUUGUAUUUAGAAUUAUUUUCCUGUACUUCCAGCUGCUUUUCUAAAGCUACAGGAAGAUUUUUUUUUUUACUUUACAGUUCAAGGGAGGUAACUCAAUAAAAAAACAACACACAAAUGCCCUUGCUUAAUUUUAUUUUGGUAAAUUACAGGGUUUGUUUUUACAAAAAUGUUCACUAAAACAGUUCAUCAUGCUGGACAAAAUUGAUUCUGCCUUUGCGACCAGUGUAGAUCAUGAUCAGCCUACAUUAUCUGUACGUCUGAUCAAGAUCUACACUGUUCGCAGUUCAGUCAGUAUCUUAUUUUGUAAGCACCCCUUUUAACAGAUAAAGGUACAGUCCAAAUUGAAAUACGGACAAGUGCAUUAUAGAAAUAUAGCAGGGUAAAAAUUAAAGUAUGUCCGUAAACAUUAUUCUUUUUUUUCUUCUGGUUAACAGAUUUGCAAUACAUGCAUUGAUUUUGAAAUUACAUAGGUAUGUGUAAUAAUAUGGUAAUUAAUUUCAAGGAAAAUCAAAGUGACAUCAAUUUUUAAGGCCAAUUAUUUUGGGUAUAUUUUCAUGUUUGGUCUAAACUUUUUACUUAUAGGCAUGGAUUCACUUCCAAAUAACAUUGCAUGAAAUUUCAUAAUAGGAAACUCUGACCCUAGUUAGCUCAUCUGAUUUUUUGGAAAAAAAAUUGAGUUGUCAUCAUUUGAUCAGUGUUGGUGUUGCCUGGUUAAGUUUUGUGUUUAGGUCAGCUUUUCUCCUAAACUAUUAAAGCUAUUGCUUUAAAACUUGCAAGACUUGCUCACCAUCAAUAGCUGACUCUGUACAUCAAGAAACAUAACUCCAUCCUGCUUUUUGCAAGAACUAAAGAUAAGAUAAGAUAUUCGGUAUGGUACUGAAAAUGAGGGAACCACGGUGGAAUUUUGGAUUUCAUGGCAGUCAUGGAAAUAUCUAAUAAGUAACCAGAUAAUUUGUAUUAAGAAUAAUUUACCAUUAACAAACUGCAUUUAGAGUUACAGAAGAGCUGAACAGAUACAUUAGUUUAAAAAAAGCAGCAAAGAAUGUCUAAUCUUUUAUAAAACAGAUUUUACAAUUGAAGGGAGCUAACUCAGUUAAAAAAAAACAACACUAAAAUGCCCUUGCUCUCAUAGAAAUUGUCACUUUCAGAAUCUUAUCAGUUUUAUAGUUUUGGAUUGAGUAAGAACUACAGUGGUAUUUUUAGCUCACCUGAGCACAAAGUGCUUAUGGUGAGCUAUUGUGAUCAGGCUGUGUCUGUUGUCCGUUGUGCGUGCAUGCGUCCGUCGGUCGUCAACAUUUGUGUUUAAACGACAUCUGUUCCAGAACAAAUGAAUGGAUUUUGAUGAAACUUUGCAGUAAUGUUCCUUGGGUGGUCCUCUACCAAAAUUGUUCAAAAGGUUCUGCUUGGUUGCACAUAGGGUCUGCCAGAGCUAAAAAUAGAAAAAACUUCAAACAACAUCUCCUCCUAAACCGAUGGUCCAAUUUUUAAAUAGUUUCACACAAAUGGUCCUUAUGUCACCCUCUACCAAGAUUGUACAAAUUAUACCGAUUUGUCAAAAAACAUGGCUGCUGGAGGGUGUGGUCACUUUUCCCUAUAUGUAUAUAGUGGAAACUUUAAAAAUCUUCUUGUGUGAAACUUCUUGCCCUAUUUUAGAAUAAUUUUACACCAAUGGUCCUUGUGUGACGCUCUACCAAGAUUGUUCAAAUUAUUUUGAUUUGUCAAAAAACAUGGCCACCAGAGGGCGUGGUCACUUUUCCCUGUAUGUAUAUAGCAGAAACUUCAAAAAUCUUGUUUGAAACUGCAAGUCCAAUUUUAAAGUAAUUUUACACAAAUGGUUCUUGUGUGACCCUCUACCAAGAUUGUUCAAAUUAUUUCGAUUCAUCAAAAAACAUGGCUGCCAGGGGGCAUGGUCACUUUUCUUCUCUGAAUCAAUAAUAGCUAGAGCCUUGAUAUUUGGUGUGUGAUAUCAGAUUUGUAAUGUCUACCAUAAUUGUUCAAAUUAUUGCCCUAGGUUCAAAAGUGUGUGUGAUAUGUAUAUAAUAUACCACACCAUAUAUUUUUACAGGUAUAUAGGACAGUGAUGUGUGUACCAGUCUGUCGGGCUAUUACAUGUUUAUCCAGUCGAUAAAUUUGAAAUGGAUGCUUAGAUUCUCAAAUAACUUGGCAUACUUUUUUUCACAGUUACAAAGACAGAUUGCAAAAGAUUUUAAGUAAUUUUUAGCUCACCUGAGCAGGAAGUGCUCAAAGGUGAGCUUUUGUGAUCGCCAUGUGUCCGUCGUCCGUCCGUCGUCCUUUGUCAACAAUUUGACUGUUAACACUCUAGAGGUCACAAUUUUGGCCCAAACUUAAUGAAACUUGGUCAGAAUGUUAUCCUCAAUAAAAUCUUGGACGAGUUUGAUAUCGGGUCAUCUAGGGUAAAAAACUUGGUCACCAGGUCAAAUCAAAGGAAAAGCUUGUUAACAUUUUAGGGGUCACAAUUUUGGCCCAAUCUUAACGAAACUUGGUCAGAAUGUUUCCCUCAAUAAAAUCUUGGACAAGUUCGAUAUUAGGUCAUCUGGGAUUAAAAACUAGGUCACUAGGUCAAAUCAAAGGAAAAGCUUGUUAACACUCUAGAGGUCACAUUUUUGGCCCAGUCUUAAUGAAACUUGGUCAGAAUGUUACCCUCAAUAAACUCUUGAACAAAUUCGAUAUUGGGUCAUCUGGGGUCAAAAACCAGGUCACCAGGUCAAAUCAAAGGAAAAGCU
This is a long non-coding RNA of Mercenaria mercenaria, 4435 nucleotides long. RefSeq lists it as uncharacterized. NCBI's taxonomy places the organism in Eukaryota, Metazoa, Mollusca, Bivalvia, Venerida, Veneridae. The transcript is spliced from 12 exons. The record is from RefSeq and is a predicted model, not a curated record.